UGGGACUACUGGGGUUUCUAAUCCCAUUCGCUCCCCUAGCUUUCGUCCCUGAGUGUCAGUUAUGGUCCAGCAAAGCGCCUUCGCCACCGAUGUUCUUCCUGAUCUCUACGCAUUUCACCGCUACACCAGGAAUUCCCUUUGCCCCUACCAUACUCUAGCUGUUCAGUUUCCACUGCCUUUCCGAGGUUGAGCCCCGGUCUUUGACAGCAGACUUGAACUGCCACCUGCGGACGCUUUACGCCCAAUCAUUCCGGAUAACGCUUGCAUCCUCCGUCUUACCGCGGCGGCUGGCAC
RNAcentral lists this unclassified non-coding RNA (294 nucleotides) under uncultured fungus. RNAcentral's name for it is "sequence contains ITS1". Lineage: Eukaryota; Fungi. The record is from RNAcentral.